RNAcentral lists this non-coding RNA (24 nucleotides) under Arabidopsis thaliana (thale cress). The record is from RNAcentral. Lineage: Eukaryota; Viridiplantae; Streptophyta; Magnoliopsida; Brassicales; Brassicaceae.
ACACCCUUAAUGUUGAUGCAUAAU